Molecule: long non-coding RNA, 323 nt
Organism: Syngnathus acus (greater pipefish)
Lineage: Eukaryota; Metazoa; Chordata; Actinopteri; Syngnathiformes; Syngnathidae
Exons: 2
Source: RefSeq, a predicted model, not a curated record
AGGGGAACGACUUUUUCUGUAUUUACGCGAGGGGGGGGGACAGUCAUCGGGUAGUCGGUCCUCUCGAGGCCAACCUAGUUCCCAAAUUGGAAUUUUAGAAAUAAGAUCGAACUGAUCACUCGACUUUAUUUCCACCAAAAAAUAACACCCAAUGGUAGCUACCUUUUCCUUCUUUUCUGAUCUAUGUUUUACAAUCAAAUUUUUGGAGGAUUGAAUGAUUUUAUUUGCACGGGUAUCAGUGAGUGAGGUUGUUCAGUUUUUGGAGGAAUUAAGAUUUGUAAUUCUAUUUCAUGCUUCUUCAAUAAAUGUGGUUUAUAUACUCA